UUUUUUUUUUUUUUUUUUUUUUUUUUUUGUCUUUUUGCCUUUUCUAGGGUCGCACCUGGGGCACAUGGAGGUUCCCAGGCUAGGGGUCGAAUCAGAGCUACAGCUGCCAGCCUAUGCCAGAGCCACAGCAAUGCAUGAUCCGAGCCAUGUCUGCAACCUACACCACAGCUCACGGUAAUGCCGGAUCCUUAACCCACUGAGCAAGGCCAGGGAUCGAACCCUAAACCUCCUGGUUCCUAGUCAGAUUCGUUAACCACUGCGCCACGACGGAAACUCCGUUUGUUAUUGUUUUGACAUAAUACGUUGAUAGCAACAAAAAUACAUUUGUAAUUUGCAAUAUAAUGAGAAUAUUGACAUAAAACUGACUAAUAAUAUCAUAUUCAAAGAGUCCUUCAGCUUUAUCACAACACAGGAAUAUUUGCCCUGAAACCUCAGGUAUAAAGGAAAUUAGCUAAAGGAGUUCCUGCUGCAGCACAGUGGGUUAAGGAUCUGAUUGCAGUGGCUCAGGUCACUGUGGAGCCUCAGGUUUGAUCCCUGGCCCGGUAUAGCAGGUUAAAGGUAUGAUGUUGCCACAGCUGUGGCAUAGGUUGCAGCUGAGGCUCAAAUUCCAUCCUUGGCCCAGGAACUUCCAUAUUCUGUGCGUGCAGGUUUUUACAAAUUUUACGAAAUCUUAAAACUCUGUCAUCACCAAAACUGUGUGUUAUGACAGGCAGUAAGUCUCAUACCCAUAACCUGAAUAAUGAAUACUCCUUUGUGAGCACCCAACUGAUGAUGGAGGAGAGAUUUAAGCCCUGGGAGAAUUAGCCUCAUAUUGUUCAAAGAGAAAGACCAAACUCCAAAGCAAUAGCAACAGAACAAGAAAGAUGCAGUUUAAGUAGAGCCUGAGAUGCCCUGACCUAUGGCUUUUAACCUUCAGGUAUGUUCUGGAUUGCACAUAAUCUAAAAAGAAAAGGGAGUUCCCUGAUGGCCUAGUGGCUAAGGACCCAGUGUUGUUAUGGCCGUAGCUCAGAUCACUGCUGUGAUAGAGGUUCAAUUUCUGGUCUGGGAACUUCCCCAUGCCUCAGGCACAGCCAUUAAAAAAAAAAAGAAGAAAAGAAAAGAAAUUAAUGUACUUAGUUUUCAUGGAAGUACUUAUUAUGUAAGUAUUCAUUGAGAACAUAUUUCUGUGUACUCUGGGGGGCUUGGUAACCCCAUACUACCUUCAAAAUACAUUUCAGUCAAUAGACUAGGAGAGUUAAAUUGUAGCCAUUUCUUUCUAGGAAAUCAUUUCAAACCACAUACCUCAGAGAGUGCCUAGCAUCGUACCCACCAUCGCCACAGCUUUGCUCCCACUUCCCCUAAAAUGAAGAUGAUUCUAUGGACUUUAAGGAGAUUUCAUUGAGCACAUUUUCUUUAUUUUAGAAUGUAUCAUGUGAUAUAUUCUGCUGUUUGAACAGCAAAAGAGAGACAUUAAAACAACAGGCUUAUCCAUCUGUGGAUAAUUUUACCUAAAAUUAAGCAGAAGUUUCUAUUGCUCUUCUUGUUUUAUAUCACACUAAGAAAACGAAUACACUGAUUUAAAUUAUAAAGCUAACAUCAGCAGAGGCAUCACAGAGUUCAGACAUGAUCAGAAAAAUUGCACUGAACAACAACUUUUACUCUCAAUUAUAUGCAUUAACGAUGGGAGUAGUGGCACAGAAAAUGUUCAAACCACUGUGACGCAACUGUUUUUGCACCAGACUCCUUUUUUUUAAAUCUACUUUGCAUAUUGUACAGACUCAUAUUUAAGUAAUUUGCCUUUGUUCCUUUAACUUACUCUGAUUUAAGCAAGGAGAACAUGAAGGUUUUAAUUUCUAUUUCAUGAAAUAAUUGUUGGAUAUCUUGAGAGUUAAUCACACGGCUGUUAAAUAAUAAUAUCUUGGGAACAAUUCUGUAGUAAUGGUUCAGUGUCAGUACUAAAAAUUUUAGGGGUCCCAUCCAGAACUGGCUGAUUCCAGAGAAAAUAAGGAACAAGCACAACAUGUAACAAGUGCUUCCUGCCAUCUUUGUUUCCAUUUAUAAAGUCUGUCUCAGCAAAAAUGCCAUGAUUUUAGUUGAUAAGCACUCUAGGUGUUCCUUUUAGAGGGGUAUUUGUAUUUUAGCAAAGAUUCCAGAAGAUUGGAAAAUUGUAAUGACUCAAAGGACACCACUCAAAUGUAGUGGGUCUUUAGGCUAGAGACUGUAUCCCCUGAAAUUUGACUUUAAAGUUUGCAUAUUUUUUUCAAAUAGACCAUUUUCUAGACAACAGUGCACAUUCUCAAGUGGUCUACAAACCUUCAAAGGUUAAGAAUUGCGCUAAAAGUAGAAUUUAAGUCUUCAGAAUCGCUUUGGAGAAAGCGACCCUAUCUUGGAAUUUGGAGUGAGGCAGGUCUAGGUUCAAAAGGCCAUUCUGCCACUCACUCACCAUUCCACUUCAGGCAAGUUACUUCAUCUCUCUGAGCUAUAUGUCCUUUCUCUAUACAGUGAGGAUAAAACCAAUGCCUACCUCUUUGGGCUCUUGUGAAGACUGGGUGUAAUGUUUGUAAAGUACUUGGCACAUAGCUACCAUGCUAUAUACUCUCAAGAAACAGUAGCUGUUACUAUAAUUAAUACAAUUAUUUGUUUCAUUAGCAUUAUAAAAUACACUGUGAAGACAGUGGCUUUACCUAACAAAUAAUAAGGUAUAUUAUUCUAAUCCUUUUGCAGUUGGCUGAUAAAACACAGACUGUGGCUAAUUAACAAUGAUUAAGUCAUCUUUGACCAAGACAGGGCUAAAGAGAUUUGUUCUCUAAAGUGAUCUGAUUUUAUUUACUUUAACUAUGGGAUAUCUAAUCUAGUGACUUGAAAUAACAAGGUUUUACAGGUUCACCAGUCUUCCAAGAAUUCCCUAAAUGACUGAAUAACUAUGGUUUCUAUGCUUAGGGUUUUCCAGACAGCACGCAAAAUAAGCAAGGAUUUACAUUCAGCUGUGUUUAAGAUAACAUCUUCAUGCUGAAAAACUGGCACCUUCUCAAAUGACCACUAAUGGAAUUUAUUAGCUAUUAUGGUAUAUUUACAGCACAAAUUACCAUUCAACUAUUAAAAAUAAUUUUAGGAAUAAUGCUCAAUGACAAGGGAUAAUGUUUAUCAUAUAUUAAGCAAAAAAGGCAGUGCACAAAAUUAAGUAAAGCCUGAUUGCUUUUUUGUACAAAGAUGGCACAGAAAAAUGCCUGGAAGAAAGUACACAAAAUUUCCAUGGUAGGUGGUGAGAUGACAGGUGAGUUUCUACACAGAGCAUUUAUUAUUUUUGCAAUCUGAAUAAUAAUAAAAGAGGAGUUCCUGCUGUGGCUCAGCAGUAAUGACUCUGACUAGUAUCCAUGAGGACGUGGGUUCCAUCCCUGGGCUUGCUCAGUGAGUUAAGGAUCCGGUGUUGCUGUGAGCUGUGGUGUAUGUAGGUCACAGAUGCAGCUCAGAUCUGGAAAGAAAGAGAAAAAGAAAUUUUAAAAAAUGGUUAAAAAUGAAAAACUUGUCAGCAGCCAAGGACUUGGGAUCAAAGGCCAAGACACAGGCCUAUUAAAAUGAUAACCUCAGACAAAUUAGCUCCCCAUCUGGGGGCCAAAUUUUGCUCCCUUGAGAUUAAGAAAGUUUGAACAAAUGAUCUGUCUCUUUCCAGUCUGACAUUCUAGGAGACGCAUGGUCAAAUGUUACAGAUAAACUUUUUUUGUUUUUUAAGCUAGCACACCAAUGCUACAUGGUGACACCCAGUGACUCUGGGAUGGAGUCCUCUUAUUUUCAAAUUGUCCUGUAUUGUUGAUUUUGUAAAUAAUAAGGAUGUUAUUCCUUUGAUAAAUAAAAAAGAUAAAAAGAAAAAAAGAAAUGGGUAAGGGGCUCAGCAUACAUAAAGGCUCACAAGCCGAACACUUUGGUACACACAUUGCACCUUGAAAGUGGGUUAACAUUUAUUUUAUUUGACCUAAACAAAUCAAUCCAAGAAAAAAAAUAAAUCACACAAUUGACAGCCACAGUCCUGGAAUAAAGGACUCCAGCCCAAUAGAACAGACUCUUGUUAUGAAAAGUAGAUGGUUUUCCUAAGAAAAGUCUCAGACAGUUUUGGAAAUCAAUGGAACAAUCGCCUGCAGCAUCUGGGGAGCAAGUUAUCGCUACAAUCACACCCGGGGCCAAACUAUUAAGUGUCAGAAAAAUACCUACGCGAUUAAAACUGUUUCACAGGAAUAAGUGGCAAAGAAAUCAGAUUACUUAAAGCCUCAAAAUCCAAACAGAACAAAACACAUUUUCAACUGCUACCUUUGGCCCUGUGUCUAAAACAAAUGCACUAAAUCCCACUUUGCAUGAGCCCUAUAAAAUAGGGAGGGGAGAAAAAGUCUUCUUUCCUCCUGCCCAGAUUCCUCCCCUGGAACCAGCGAGCUCUCCCGCUGCCAAUGAGAAGUUUCCUCGAGGUGCUUUUUAAAGAGCAUUGAAAGGCGGCAGCAGUGACCCAGAAGCCUGGGAAAAAUACCCGGUUUCUCAGACUACCAGCCCCACCCCCUUCUGGGCAAGGCACCCAGCUGAGUGGAGCUAGUCCCCAAAGCUGAUCUGCUUCUUUGCAUGAGCAGGGACAAUUUUCCACCCACACUGUGCAACCCUGCUCCAGACACGGCUGUCAGGUUACACAACCUGGCUUCUCUCCUGGACAGAGGGGGGAGAUACCCACUGGAUCUCUUGGGGCUCUGCUAUUGAUCAAGGGAUUGCUUUGGCCUGAGGAGUAAGAACAUGGGGCUGGCUGCCUUCUGCAGCAGGGGCCAGUUAAGAGGGAGGAAGUAUCUGAAACCUUAAAAAAAUGCUAAAUGGAUUAAGAUUUCUGCACACACUAGUGUAUGUGGGAUGGAUGGCCAGUGGGGACCUGCUGUAUAGCACAGGGAACUCAACCCCAAAUUCUGUGAUAACCCAUGUGGGAAAAGAAUCUGAAAAAAAAAUGGAUAUGUGUCUGCAUAUAACUGAAUUACUUUUCUGUACUGCAGAAAUUAUCACAAUGUUGUAAAAUCAACUCUACUUCAAUAAAACUUGAAGAAAUGAAAAAAAAAGAUUUUGGCUGAUUUUCUUAGUAGAAAAGUGUUGGAAGGACGUGGGAGAGGGCUCUCUUCACUCCAUCUCAUUUUAAAACUUGAUGAUAAUCUUUAAAGACCUGCUGAUAGGAUCUUUUAAAAGGCACAGGUAAUUAUGUGACUGCUACUUGAAGCGAAUUUAAAAGAAAAAUAUGCUGCUUGGACAAUUUUCACUGUGAUUAGAAAUUGCUUCAAAAAACAAACUUGAUUUGGACCUAGAGUCUCAUUGUGGACAAACUACUUCCCAAGAAUUAGACAGAUUCUGGAGCUGGCAGUCAGCAAGCAUUGCCAACUAUUUACUAAGUAUUAAGGAACAUGCAUGGGUGCAGAACUCCUUAGGUAGGUCACACUGCCACCACACAGGACACCGAUGAAGUAAUCUGUUAAAUGGCAUCUAUUAAGACAGAGUUAUUGACACUUUAAAAAUGUGCAAGAAAACCUGUAAGAAGUGGUUACAUUAACCUGGUAAACAUAGCACCUUUGAACACAAAUGCACAAAGAUAAAUCUAGGUCAUUAAAUUUUCGCCGAAAUGAUCAAUGGUGAUGAUAAUCUUAAGUCUCAUCUUAAUAUUUUAAUUUACCUAAUAUAAUAUUGUUACUUUGGUUUUAAUUCACAUUUACCUGACAUAUCUAUUUCCAAUCCAUUUCACUCAAAAUUUCUGAGCCACUGUGUCUUAGGUACGAUGCUUAUAAACAGUAUGUAGCUGGAGCUCAAAUUUUUGUGCAAUCAUUGUCUUCAAACGGGAGAAUUUAGCUCAUUUACCUUUAUUGUGGUUAAAUAUACAUUUGGACCUAUUUGAAUCAUCUCUUUUUUUGUUGUUAUUUUCUAUUGAACACACAUCUUCCUUGGUAUUUUUUUUCUCUUCUCUCCUGCUAUCUAUUGAAUUGAUUGACUGAACUUUCUUCAUUCCCCUCCACUGGUUUGGAAGUUAGUCUAUUUCUAUAGAGGUUAUCCCCAAAUUUGUAUAGCAACCAAAAUCUAAAGAAAAUCUUAUCUCUAUCCUUCUCUAAAAUAAUAUGAAUACUGUGGAAGAUAUUACCUCC
Molecule: long non-coding RNA, 6122 nt
Filed under: Sus scrofa (pig)
Lineage: Eukaryota; Metazoa; Chordata; Mammalia; Artiodactyla; Suidae
Description: lncRNA (ENSSSCG00050040251.1)
Source: RNAcentral